RNAcentral lists this ribosomal RNA (254 nucleotides) under uncultured bacterium. Its description in RNAcentral is "partial 16S ribosomal RNA". It matches the Rfam family "Bacterial small subunit ribosomal RNA", at positions 524 to 776 of the family's 1533-position model. The record is from RNAcentral.
UACGGGGGGAGCAAGCGUUGUUCGGAUUUACUGGGCGUAAAGGGCGCGUAGGCGGUCAGCACAAGUCAGUUGUGAAAUCUCCGGGCUUAACUCGGAAAGGUCAACUGAUACUGUGCGACUAGAGUGCGGAAGGGGCAACUGGAAUUCUCGGUGUAGCGGUGAAAUGCGUAGAUAUCUGGAGGAACACCGGUGGCGAAGGCGGCGUUUUGGACUGCUACUGACACUGAGGAACGAAAGCCAGGGGAGCAAACGGG